UUUCCGUAGGUGAACCUGCGGAAGGAUCAUUACAGAGUUCAUGCCCUUCGGGGUAGAUCUCCACCCGUGUUUAUUUAUACCUUUUGUUGCUUUGGCGGGCCGCCUCGGCCAACGGCUCCGGCUGGUGCGUGCCCGCCAGAGGACCUCAAACUCUGAAUGUUAGUGUCGUCCGAGUACUAUAUAAUAGUUAAAACUUUCAACAACGGAUCUCUUGGUUCUGGCAUCGAUGAAGAACGCAGC
Molecule: unclassified non-coding RNA, 240 nt
Filed under: uncultured fungus
Lineage: Eukaryota; Fungi
Description: sequence contains ITS1, 5.8S rRNA gene
Rfam family: 5.8S ribosomal RNA (bases 192-240)
Source: RNAcentral